AAAUAAAGGAAGAAGAAAAUUACAUUUUCAAAAGAGAUUAUUCAACUGCUUUAAAAAGGUAAUUUUUUUAAAAGAUUUUAAGCUUUUAUAAAUAGUUUUUGUAUUAUUGAUAGCUUCCCAGUAAAUUUAUACCUUAUAUAAUAUACCUAAUAUAUGAGUAAUACUCAUUGAGUAUAUGUUUUUUUUUAGGUUAAAACAUUGGUCAUAAUAGUGAAACAAAAAUAAAAAUGGGUGUACAAAAUAUACACAUUCGAUUAAUCAAGAUACAAUUAGAUUUGAUACACCUUAGGAAUUUGAAACAGCACAAAACUUCAAAUUUCUAGCUACCUGGUAUGAAACAAGCAUUCCAAGAACGUACUCUAUAGAAGCAUCAAACUAAAUAAUUUAUGAUUAUUAUAACAAUUCUACAUAACCUCUAUUUAACUAAAAUUAUUUAAUAGUGUUAAAAAAAUAUGCAGUAUACUCUAAAACAAAUUAAUAGUAUACAUUUUUAUCAUUCCUAUUUAAAAGUUAGUUUCAUAGUUUUAAUCCACUAUGGUUUUUCUAAUUUUGUUUAGUUUUUUACU
Non-coding RNA from Cinara cedri, 566 nucleotides. The record is from the annotation of a GenBank genome assembly. NCBI's taxonomy places the organism in Eukaryota, Metazoa, Arthropoda, Insecta, Hemiptera, Aphididae.